RNAcentral lists this long non-coding RNA (250 nucleotides) under Solanum tuberosum (potato). Its description in RNAcentral is "long non-coding RNA (STUB_LNC011679)". The record is from RNAcentral. Lineage: Eukaryota; Viridiplantae; Streptophyta; Magnoliopsida; Solanales; Solanaceae.
UUCCUUGUAGCCUUUCCAAACUUCUUCUUAACUGGCUCAUCACUAUCUUUUCUCCUAUUUUUUCCUGGUCUUCCUGGCAUAGCUGUAAUUUCAGGUGGUUCAAUGGCUGGUCUAUCACUUUUUGGCCACAUCUUCAUGUUUGUCAUAGGUUGAAUAAACCUAUUAUAUGCUUUCAGGUAUGUUUCCUUCUUAUACCAGUGAUCAACAAAUGUAUCAACAACCCAAUCCUUAUAAUGAAUUGUUGUAAGUG